UAUUUGGCUUUUUUAAAAGCCAUCCAUAGUUUCAGAUGUUGAGGU
Molecule: non-coding RNA, 45 nt
Organism: Pongo abelii (Sumatran orangutan)
Lineage: Eukaryota; Metazoa; Chordata; Mammalia; Primates; Hominidae
Source: Rfam